This 253-nucleotide ribosomal RNA is filed under the name uncultured bacterium. RNAcentral describes it as "partial 16S ribosomal RNA". It matches the Rfam family "Bacterial small subunit ribosomal RNA", at positions 524 to 776 of the family's 1533-position model. The record is from RNAcentral.
UACGUAGGGUGCGAGCGUUGUCCGGAAUUACUGGGCGUAAAGAGCUCGUAGGUGGUUUGUCGCGUUGUCCGUGAAAACUCACAGCUUAACUGUGGGCGUGCGGGCGAUACGGGCAGACUGGAGUACUGCAGGGGAGACUGGAAUUCCUGGUGUAGCGGUGGAAUGCGCAGAUAUCAGGAGGAACACCGGUGGCGAAGGCGGGUCUCUGGGCAGUAACUGACGCUAAGGAGCGAAAGCGUGGGGAGCGAACAGG